GGUUCCAUAGCAUAGUGGUGAGCACGUCUGCUUCACACGCAGAAGGCCCUGGGUUCGCGCCCCAGUGGAGCCA
Molecule: transfer RNA, 73 nt
Filed under: Pteropus alecto (black flying fox)
Lineage: Eukaryota; Metazoa; Chordata; Mammalia; Chiroptera; Pteropodidae
Rfam family: tRNA
About the family: Transfer RNA (tRNA) molecules are approximately 80 nucleotides in length.
Source: Rfam by way of RNAcentral